CCUACGGGAGGCAGCAGUGGGGAAUAUUGGACAAUGGGCGAAAGCCUGAUCCAGCAAUGCCGCGUGAGUGAUGAAGGCCUUAGGGUUGUAAAGCUCUUUUACCCGGGAUGAUAAUGACAGUACCGGGCGAAUAAGCUCCGGCUAACUCCGUGCCAGCAGCCGCGGUAAUACGGAGGGAGCUAGCGUUAUUCGGAAUUACUGGGCGUAAAGCGCACGUAGGCGGCUUUGUAAGUAAGAGGUGAAAGCCCAGAGCUCAACUCUGGAAUUGCCUUUAGACUGCAUCGCUUGAAUCAUGGAGAGGUCAGUGGAAUUCCGAGUGUAGAGGUGAAAUUCGUAGAUAUUCGGAAGAACACCAGUGGCGAAGGCGGCUGACUGGACAUGUAUUGACGCUGAGGUGCGAAAGCGUGGGGAGUAAACAGGAUUAGAUACCCUGGUAGUCCACGCCGUAAACGAUGAUAACUAGCUGUCCGGACACUUGGUGUUUGGGUGGCGGCNGCUACGCAUUAAGUUAUCCGUCCGUGGGAGGUACGGCCGCGAACGGUUAAACGUUAAAACGGUAAGUUAGACGGCGUGAGACGUAGCCGACGGACGACGACGAGGGAGGUAGG
RNAcentral lists this ribosomal RNA (608 nucleotides) under uncultured bacterium. RNAcentral's name for it is "bacterial SSU rRNA". The stretch from base 1 to 517 matches the Rfam family "Bacterial small subunit ribosomal RNA", at positions 338 to 873 of the family's 1533-position model. The record is from RNAcentral.